This 253-nucleotide ribosomal RNA is filed under the name uncultured bacterium. RNAcentral describes it as "partial 16S ribosomal RNA". It matches the Rfam family "Bacterial small subunit ribosomal RNA", at positions 524 to 776 of the family's 1533-position model. The record is from RNAcentral.
UACGAAGGGGACUAGCGUUGUUCGGAAUUACUGGGCGUAAAGGGCGCGUAGGCGGCUUUGUAAGUCGGGGGUGAAAGCCUGUGGCUCAACCACAGAAUUGCCUUCGAUACUGCAUGGCUUGAGACCGGAAGAGGUAAGUGGAACUGCGAGUGUAGAGGUGAAAUUCGUAGAUAUUCGCAAGAACACCAGUGGCGAAGGCGGCUUACUGGUCCGGUUCUGACGCUGAGGCGCGAAAGCGUGGGGAGCAAACAGG